UCCUCGAUCUGCUGCGGGCAGAUGAAAUGGAUGUGGCUGUCGAACCCGCCGGCGGUGAGAAUCUUCCCCUCCCCGGCGAUGAUCUCCGUGCCGGGGCCGAUGAUGAUGUCCACGCCCGCCUGCACGUCGGGGUUGCCGGCCUUGCCGAUGCGGGCGAUGCGCCCGUUCUUCAGGCCCACGUCGGCCUUCACCACACCCCAGUGGUCGAGGAUGACGGCAUUGGUGAUGACCGUAUCCAUCGCCCCGUCGGCAUUGGUGACCUGCGACUGGCCCAUGCCGUCGCGGA
This 286-nucleotide small RNA is filed under the name Xanthobacter flavus. Its description in RNAcentral is "5' ureB small RNA". It matches the Rfam family "5' ureB small RNA". The record is from RNAcentral. Lineage: Bacteria; Pseudomonadati; Pseudomonadota; Alphaproteobacteria; Hyphomicrobiales; Xanthobacteraceae.